Molecule: ribosomal RNA, 372 nt
Filed under: uncultured organism
Description: bacterial SSU rRNA
Rfam family: Bacterial small subunit ribosomal RNA
Source: RNAcentral
CGUAGGUGGCGAGCGUUGUCCGGAAUUAUUGGGCGUAAAGGGCGCGUAGGCGGCUCAUUAAGUCAGAUGUGAAAACCCAGGGCUUAACUCUGGGAGUGCAUUUGAAACUGAAGGGCUCGAGUGCAGGAGAGGUAAGUGGAAUUCCUAGUGUAGCGGUGAAAUGCGUAGAUAUUAGGAGGAACACCAGUGGCGAAGGCGACUUACUGGACUGUAACUGACGCUGAGGCGCGAAAGCGUGGGGAGCAAACAGGAUUAGAUACCCUGGUAGUCCACGCUGUAAACGAUGGAUACUAGGUGUGGGAGGUAUCGACCCCUUCCGUGCCGCAGUUAACGCAAUAAGUAUCCCGCCUGGGGAGUACGGCCGCAAGGUUG